Molecule: ribosomal RNA, 1435 nt
Filed under: Staphylococcus saprophyticus
Lineage: Bacteria; Bacillati; Bacillota; Bacilli; Caryophanales; Staphylococcaceae
Description: bacterial SSU rRNA
Rfam family: Bacterial small subunit ribosomal RNA
Source: RNAcentral
UGCCUAUACAUGCAAGUCGAGCGAACAGAUAAGGAGCUUGCUCCUUUGACGUUAGCGGCGGACGGGUGAGUAACACGUGGGUAACCUACCUAUAAGACUGGGAUAACUUCGGGAAACCGGAGCUAAUACCGGAUAACAUUUGGAACCGCAUGGUUCUAAAGUGAAAGAUGGUUUUGCUAUCACUUAUAGAUGGACCCGCGCCGUAUUAGCUAGUUGGUAAGGUAACGGCUUACCAAGGCGACGAUACGUAGCCGACCUGAGAGGGUGAUCGGCCACACUGGAACUGAGACACGGUCCAGACUCCUACGGGAGGCAGCAGUAGGGAAUCUUCCGCAAUGGGCGAAAGCCUGACGGAGCAACGCCGCGUGAGUGAUGAAGGGUUUCGGCUCGUAAAACUCUGUUAUUAGGGAAGAACAAAUGUGUAAGUAACUGUGCACGUCUUGACGGUACCUAAUCAGAAAGCCACGGCUAACUACGUGCCAGCAGCCGCGGUAAUACGUAGGUGGCAAGCGUUAUCCGGAAUUAUUGGGCGUAAAGCGCGCGUAGGCGGUUUCUUAAGUCUGAUGUGAAAGCCCACGGCUCAACCGUGGAGGGUCAUUGGAAACUGGGAAACUUGAGUGCAGAAGAGGAAAGUGGAAUUCCAUGUGUAGCGGUGAAAUGCGCAGAGAUAUGGAGGAACACCAGUGGCGAAGGCGACUUUCUGGUCUGUAACUGACGCUGAUGUGCGAAAGCGUGGGGAUCAAACAGGAUUAGAUACCCUGGUAGUCCACGCCGUAAACGAUGAGUGCUAAGUGUUAGGGGGUUUCCGCCCCUUAGUGCUGCAGCUAACGCAUUAAGCACUCCGCCUGGGGAGUACGACCGCAAGGUUGAAACUCAAAGGAAUUGACGGGGACCCGCACAAGCGGUGGAGCAUGUGGUUUAAUUCGAAGCAACGCGAAGAACCUUACCAAAUCUUGACAUCCUUUGAAAACUCUAGAGAUAGAGCUUUCCCCUUCGGGGGACAAAGUGACAGGUGGUGCAUGGUUGUCGUCAGCUCGUGUCGUGAGAUGUUGGGUUAAGUCCCGCAACGAGCGCAACCCUUAAGCUUAGUUGCCAUCAUUAAGUUGGGCACUCUAGGUUGACUGCCGGUGACAAACCGGAGGAAGGUGGGGAUGACGUCAAAUCAUCAUGCCCCUUAUGAUUUGGGCUACACACGUGCUACAAUGGACAAUACAAAGGGCAGCUAAACCGCGAGGUCAUGCAAAUCCCAUAAAGUUGUUCUCAGUUCGGAUUGUAGUCUGCAACUCGACUACAUGAAGCUGGAAUCGCUAGUAAUCGUAGAUCAGCAUGCUACGGUGAAUACGUUCCCGGGUCUUGUACACACCGCCCGUCACACCACGAGAGUUUGUAACACCCGAAGCCGGUGGAGUAACCAUUUAUGGAGCUAGCCGUCGAA